RNAcentral lists this ribosomal RNA (179 nucleotides) under Clostridium botulinum C/D str. DC5. RNAcentral describes it as "partial 16S ribosomal RNA". It matches the Rfam family "Bacterial small subunit ribosomal RNA", at positions 1370 to 1533 of the family's 1533-position model. Lineage: Bacteria; Bacillati; Bacillota; Clostridia; Eubacteriales; Clostridiaceae. The record is from RNAcentral.
GUUCCCGGGUCUUGUACACACCGCCCGUCACACCAUGAGAGCCGGUAACACCCGAAGCCCGUGAGGUAACCGUAAGGAGCCAGCGGUCGAAGGUGGGAUUGGUGAUUGGGGUGAAGUCGUAACAAGGUAGCCGUAGGAGAACCUGCGGCUGGAUCACCUCCUUUCUAGGGAGAAUGGAA